UGCCUCCCUAACAUCCAGGCAGACAUCUUUUCCCUUUGACCCCUGACCAUCUCACACUAUUUAGAGGGCACACCCUUCUCUUUCGACCACCCCCACCUUCUCCACCUCUAGGCCUGUUUCCUUGGGAGAGAGUCAGGAAGUCACAGGAGCUGAUAAAAUCUACUUCAGAACCACUCGGCCUGCGUAAUCUCUCCGGGGUGUUUGAGGGAGGAGCCUUAGGCCACUGGGGCGUCGAGGAAGCCCCCUCCCUCAAGAGCCCCCGCCCUUAAAAAAAACAAAAAAAACCCCGAGGAGUUCCCCUUAAGGUGGCAACCCUAAACCCGCUUUACCAGGAAGUAAGUCCCACUGAACUCAACGGGGCUGACUUCAGAGUAAAAACACGGCUAGGACUGGGCUGCGAGAGUCUCCUGGGCCGAAGGAGGGAGCGCUUCGUGGAGCUUGCUUGCUUCUUGUCAAGGGGGACGACCGCCGUCAGGGCCGCUUCCGGGGGUUGCACCAGAGCUCCGUAUCGGCGUGUGCGUCCGAGCCCUGUGGCGGGGUUGAGUUUGCAGCAGCCCCAACGCCGUCCUUUUUAUCACCUUCCUCAACUUUUACUAACUUUCCGCCUUGGAGAAAGAGAGACACGGGUGGAGGGUGGGAUUUCUCCAGUUUAUUCUAAAGAAAAUAAGCCCAGAUAGAGAAGGGAUGGGAACUGGGAAGCGAGUCCUGGCCGCUGCCGGCGGCGACAGGCUGGGGAUGGCUUCUAGUCCCUCUCACACCUCCUCAAAUCAGACUUCCACCCCGUGUCGUCUCCCUCCAAAACCCAGCCAUAAUUUACGCGACCAGACACAGACCGAAGGCCGGCAGGGAGUUCGUGGGAAGAGCUUCUCCCUCGCCAACAAGAGCCUUCCCGUUGGUGCCGCCGCUCGCUGUUGCUGCUGCUGCUGGUGGUGGUCACUUCCUGUUGUCCAGUGACUAGGUUCAAGACAGCUGAAAGUUUUGCCAGCUCGGUUGGGUCAUCACCAGCAGAUCGCUUAUGUGUUAGGGAUGGUUGGCUGGGGGAGCCCAUUCGAUGCUAUUUCCCACCAAGAAGGGAGGGGGAAGAGAUAGGGCUCCAGUUCCGCAAAAAUAGGGGUCUGGAGGGUGUGCGUGCGGACAUUUCUACACAAGUAGCCCUUUUCAAUCCCCGCGUGUGCAAAAGAACGAAUCCAGGUGAACCGCAGCCCUCUGCGAGUGUUACAGAAUCCUCCCGACAUUGCAAUAGGGAAUUAAAUACAGGCGGGUGCAACCGAUCCCCUUUCUCCUGGCGUGUUGGUAUGUCUGUCGACUACUUCGAAGCACAAAAGGACAGUUAUUUCGUUUGGCUGAGAUCCUAAACAGAUUUACUUGGAAGUAAGGCCCAUUGGAAUCUGUAAUCGCAAGCAAAUAUGUUUGAGGCAUCGUGUGUGUCUAGUGUGACAUUGCAUGUAUAUAGGUGGUAAAAGUAUUAAGGUAUUUCCGGCCCCCCACUUCCUAAUUUUUCCUAGUUUCAAUCCAGUUGUUAUCUAAAAGGUUUAUGUAUUUGUCAGACCGCAUUACUUUCUGAACUUUAGAGUCGUUUCUUAAGAUUUUGGGAGUUUCUAGCAUCACACAUGUUCUUAAAGGAUUUUAUUAAACUAUUCUCUUUUAAAAGUU
RNA transcript from Hemicordylus capensis (graceful crag lizard), 1653 nucleotides. RefSeq lists it as uncharacterized. Lineage: Eukaryota; Metazoa; Chordata; Lepidosauria; Squamata; Cordylidae. The transcript is spliced from 3 exons. The record is from RefSeq and is a predicted model, not a curated record.